Dama dama (fallow deer) is the source of this 1105-nucleotide long non-coding RNA. RefSeq lists it as uncharacterized. Lineage: Eukaryota; Metazoa; Chordata; Mammalia; Artiodactyla; Cervidae. The record is from RefSeq and is a predicted model, not a curated record. The transcript has 3 exons.
GGGAAGCCAGGGUGACCAUCUCCACCUCCUCUGAGCCCUUGGCUUCACCUCGGCCUCCCGUGGAGCACCAGCACCCCAGAUUCUGUGUGCCUGAGCUCUUCUCUCCCUGCAGCCCAUCAUGCUUAAAGUCAUGUGGGAUCUUAGCUUCCCAACUGGAGUCAAACCCAGAGCUCCUGCAUUGGAAGGCAAAAUCUUCACCACUGGGCCACCAGGGACAUUCCCCAGACUUACUCAUGCUAUAACUGGACGUCUGUACCUUUUGACCAACACCUCCGCAACUCCCUUACUGCCCAGCCCUCCGCAGUACCGUUCUACUCCGUUUCUCUGAGUUCAGCGUUUUUGGAUUCCACAUGGUGUCAGACCCCAAACCAGGUCCUGGAAAGAGAGGAACAUGUAAAACCAGCCUCUGCCUUUGAGAAGUUCUGACUGGGGAUCAGAGCAGCAAGUGGAUGCGACCAUGUGAUGUGAGAAGACUGGCAUGUGACCCCAAACGCAGAUAAGCAAGCAAUAAAAUAAAUCCAUCUUUAAACCGUGUCCCUGUACUACUGAAUCUAAGAACAAAGAAAUAUGUUGAAAUACAUACAUAUUUUCAAGUUUAGAAUUGUUUCGACAACAUCGUCAAAAUUUCAACAGGCAGCUCUCUGAAAACUAGACGCUUUAUAAGGUGAGGCUAUAUAUAAACUUCAUCUUAAUAACAACAGUAAUAGUACCAUUCAGUAUUUUUACUUUUUUUCUAUUUAAAGAACAUUCCUCUAGCCCUUCCCUUUAUGCCCCCAGUUCAAUCAUGUGGUGGGGUGGACAGCCAGUCCUUAUCUCUAAAUUUAAUAGAUAAAAAAGAGAUAAAAUCUAAAGACUGACUUUGCUCUGGGUUGUUGACAAGGUAAAAAGUCAUGCAAAAGCAUUCAACUCCCCCACACACUCAGCAGGCUUGCUGAGCGACAUCAAAUGAGGUCAAAGACCACAGAAAUUAGGUUGGCAAAAGUUACUGUGAGGAAGGAUUGGUUUGAUGAUGACUAACCGAAAAAAGACAAGAAGCUGAACCUAAAGGGGCAGAAUAGGAAGCCAGAGGUUUCACAAGAAGUGUCCCUAAAGCAAAUUAAGACAA